AAGACCGCGUGGUAUCGUCGCAUCCACGCCGCUAGUACGACUCCGCAAAACCUUCGUGUCUGAUCCACUGAGACUACGUAAUGGAGGCGGCAGAUCGUUCCAGCACUUGGACGCGGCGAACCUGAAACUCCCGCGGAAGGCAGUAGUACGGUGACGCGGUAUUGCCAGUGAGUAAUACGUCGAGCGAGUUUUGUACGACUUCACGUCACGUGACCACACCAAUUUCUCAGCGAGAUACGGCGGCGUAUGAUGUUUCACUACACCAAACAAGAGCGUUGCAAGAUGUAGUUGUCUCCGUGCAUUCAUCUUCAUAAUAUUGGCAUUGUUUAUAAAUGGCGUGACGUGUGUGCGUGGUGGUAUAUUGAAGCAAAAUCGUGCGCAGGCAUUUUGAACUCUUUGUAUGAGUUUUUGUGACCGGGUAAGGAGUCGCGGACCAUAUACUACAUCCAUAUAGUUAAAUUUCGACAUAACGAGAGUGUCGCAAAGUUUGAUGCGGGUCUCAGUAUUAAUAUAGUUCCUGAUUUGGUAUAAUGUCUUGAGACGAUAAAAACAA
Pectinophora gossypiella (pink bollworm) is the source of this 553-nucleotide long non-coding RNA. RefSeq lists it as uncharacterized. The record is from RefSeq and is a predicted model, not a curated record. Lineage: Eukaryota; Metazoa; Arthropoda; Insecta; Lepidoptera; Gelechiidae. The transcript is spliced from 2 exons.